This 253-nucleotide ribosomal RNA is filed under the name uncultured bacterium. Its description in RNAcentral is "partial 16S ribosomal RNA". It matches the Rfam family "Bacterial small subunit ribosomal RNA", at positions 524 to 776 of the family's 1533-position model. The record is from RNAcentral.
UACGUAGGUGGCAAGCGUUGUCCGGAUUUACUGGGCGUAAAGAGCGCGCAGGCGGUCGUUCAAGUCGCGUGUGAAAGCCCCCGGCUCAACUGGGGAGGGUCACGCGAUACUGAUCGACUCGAAGGCAGGAGAGGGUAGUGGAAUUCCCGGUGUAGUGGUGAAAUGCGUAGAUAUCGGGAGGAACACCAGUGGCGAAGGCGACUACCUGGCCUGUUCUUGACGCUGAGGCGCGAAAGCUAGGGGAGCAGACGGG